This 338-nucleotide ribosomal RNA is filed under the name uncultured soil bacterium. Its description in RNAcentral is "bacterial SSU rRNA". It matches the Rfam family "Bacterial small subunit ribosomal RNA", at positions 26 to 363 of the family's 1533-position model. The record is from RNAcentral.
AGAUUGAACGCUGGCGGCAGGCCUAACACAUGCAAGUCGAGCGGCAGCACGGGUACUUGUACCUGGUGGCGAGCGGCGGACGGGUGAGUAAUGCCUAGGAAUCUGCCUGGUAGUGGGGGAUAACGCUCGGAAACGGACGCUAAUACCGCAUACGUCCUACGGGAGAAAGCAGGGGACCUUCGGGCCUUGCGCUAUCAGAUGAGCCUAGGUCGGAUUAGCUAGUUGGUGAGGUAAUGGCUCACCAAGGCGACGAUCCGUAACUGGUCUGAGAGGAUGAUCAGUCACACUGGAACUGAGACACGGUCCAGACUCCUACGGGAGGCAGCAGGUGGGGAAUA